Molecule: long non-coding RNA, 268 nt
Filed under: Gossypium raimondii (Peruvian cotton)
Lineage: Eukaryota; Viridiplantae; Streptophyta; Magnoliopsida; Malvales; Malvaceae
Description: long non-coding RNA (GRAI_LNC007902)
Source: RNAcentral
GAUUUCAAUAAUGCUUUGUCUCUUUCAUUCUUUAUCGAAUUGGUGGGGCCCUUGACGUGGAAUAAUUGGACACGUAGCCUUUCUUUUUCCUUCUUUAUAUGGCAAUUUUAGACACGUAAUUUUCAUUGCUUUCAUUUUCAUCGUUUUCCUUCCUUUUUUUUUAUAUUCUCUUAAUUAUUGUACUGGUGAAAUUCCUUGGAAGGUCCUUCUAUUAUAAGAAUUGGAUCAAAUUAAUCAUUCUAUUAUUAAAUAAAUUAAAUUAAUCUCU